AUGAAACCUAUUCACUUAAAACAAAAUCAAGAGUGCAUGAUGCAUCUCUCUACAUAUCUUGAACAGAAUAUUUUCAAACUAUUUGGCAAUAUUAGAUUGUAUUCAUAUUUGACUUUAGCAUAAAUCAAAUUACCUGAUGCUUAUGAUAAAUUAUUAUUGUUAAUUACUCAAACUUGAGUUAGACAAGACACUUAUGGUUCAAGUCUGUCUAACAAUGGGCUGAGUUGGAGAAACUUAGGCUUCUCAUGAUUGUUUCUGGAUAAAUUACUGAACUUAGUGGCAUCUUUACACAUUUGGCUUCUAUGGUUGCCCAACAAGGGGAACUAGCUAUCAGGAUUGAUGAUAACAUGGAUGAGUCAUUGACCAAUGUUGAAGGUGCUCGCAGCGCUCUUCUGAGGAAUCUUAACCAAAUAUCAUCAAAUAGGUGGCUUCUAAUCAAAAUAUUUGGGGUACUGAUAUUUUUCUUGAUUGUAUUCAUUAUGUUUGUGGCUUGAACUUCAAUAUUGAACUGAGCAUUAGAAGUUCCUGCUACAUAUCCUUUCAUUUGUAAUUGCUUGUAGGUAUAGGAAUAGGAUACCUCGUUAUUAAGGAGUGAUUUGGGCUCCCUUGUUCUGUAGAAUGGUCUUUCUUGUUUGUCUUUUUUCCUUUUUACUACAAUAAGCUAUUGCAUAGUAGAAGAGCAUAUCGAUAUAGAUUUUUUUUUUGAAAAAUAUAUGGAUAUAGAUUAUUGCUUGUACUUAAUAUACAACACAAUAUGCUGAUAGCUUGUCUCUGUGAAAUUUGAAAUUCUUUAUUCAUGGUUGA
Molecule: long non-coding RNA, 804 nt
Organism: Cannabis sativa
Lineage: Eukaryota; Viridiplantae; Streptophyta; Magnoliopsida; Rosales; Cannabaceae
Exons: 2
Source: RefSeq, a predicted model, not a curated record